RNAcentral lists this ribosomal RNA (308 nucleotides) under uncultured fungus. RNAcentral's name for it is "SSU rRNA". It matches the Rfam family "Eukaryotic small subunit ribosomal RNA", at positions 39 to 352 of the family's 1831-position model. The record is from RNAcentral. Lineage: Eukaryota; Fungi.
AAAGAUUAAGCCAUGCAUGUCUAAGUAUAAGCAAUUAUACCGCGAAACUGCGAAUGGCUCAUUAAAUCAGUUAUCGUUUAUUUGAUAGUACCUUACUACAUGGAUAACCGUGGUAAUUCUAGAGCUAAUACAUGCUGAAAAUCCCGACCUCUGGAAGGGAUGUAUUUAUUAGAUAAAAAACCAAUGCCUUCGGGCUCCUUGGUGAUUCAUGAUAACUUUACGAAUCGCAUGGCCUUGCGCCGGCGAUGGUUCAUUCAAAUUUCUGCCCUAUCAACUUUCGAUGGUAGGAUAGUGGCCUACCAUGGUCG